AGACGUUGUGUUACUUGGACGGCCUAGUUAUCCAGCUAAGCUAAAACAAUCUCUACAUUUAGCUGUUUCUACCUGCAGUUUUACAGAGAAUCUUAAAUCAGUUCAAUUAAAAACAGCAUUUGGAGAGGAUUAACUCACUGAUCCUGAGGAAUAAUAAAAAGAAAAAAAAAGACAUUCUUUGUACUAUGACGAAUCAAGAAGAAACUCAGACAGACCUUCACCACUGCUUAGAGUGUGGAAAGAGUUUUAGUCAAAAGAAGGGUCUCACAGCACACCAGCGCAUCCACAGACAAGAAAAACCACAUCAGUGCUCAAAAUGUGGAAAGAGUUUUACUUGUAAAUACCGUCUCCAGAGACAUCAGCACGUUCACACAGGAAAGAAGCCGUAUCAGUGCCCAGAGUGUGGAAAGAGUUUUAGUCAAGAGAGGUACUUCUCAGCACACCAGCUCAUCCACAGCCAAGGCAAGCCACAUCAGUGCUCACAGUGUGGAAAGAGGUUCCUUAAUAAAUAUCAUCUCAAACAACAUCAGCACACUCAUACAGGAGAGAAGCCGCAUCAGUGCUCCCAGUGUGGAAAGAGUUUUAGUCAAGAGAGGUACCUCACAGCCCACCAGCUCAUCCACAGCCAAGGCAAGUCACAUCAGUGCUCACAGUGUGGAAAGAGUUUUGUUAACAAGAGAGGUUUAAAAUUGCACGAAUACAUGCAUACAGGAGAGAAGCUGCAUCAGUGCUCACAGUGUGAAAAGAGUUUCAUUAAUAAACAUCGUCUCCGACAACACCAGCGCUCUCAUACAGGAGUGAAGCCGCACCAAUGCUCACAAUGUGGAAAAAGUUUUGCUAUCAUAAGAGAUUUGAAAAUACACGAGUACAUCCAUACAGGAGAGAAGCCACAUCAGUGCUCACAGUGUGGGAAGAGUUUUAAUCAAAAGUAUUAUCUCAAGAAACAUCAGCGCAUUCACUCAGGAGACAAACCGUUUCACUGUUCACAGUGUGGGAAGAGUUUUAAUCAAAAGGAUUCUUUUAAGCAACACCAGCGCAUUCACACAGGGGACAAACUGCUUCACUGUUCACAGUGUGGAAAGGGUUUUAAUCAAAAGGAUUCUUUCAAGAAACAUCAGCGCGUUCACACAGGAGACAAACCGUUUCACUGUUCACAGUGUGGGAAGAGUUUUAGUCGAAAGGAUUCUCUCAAGCAACAUCAGCGCAUUCACACUGGAGACAAACCGUUUCACUGUUCACAGUGUGGGAAGAGUUUUACUCAAAGCAGCACUCUUGUGCAACAUCAACGUAUUCACACUGGGGAGAAGCCGUAUUACUGCUCCAUGUGUGGAAAUAAUUUUUCUCGAAUCAGCUCUUUUAAUAAGCAUUUAUGCAUGCACUGAAGGAGAGUAAAAAAGUAUUCCCAAGUUCCCAGUUUCUGCACCAAGAGCAUAUAGAGGUGGAUGAUGCAGUAAUUAAUCUGUUGCAUGAAGCUUACUCAAUCCUGGACCAUGAACAACCUUAAUGAUCGCAACCAAUCUGGACUCAAAGUGGCACAUUCCACAGAGACUGCCCUUCUGUCAGUCACUGAAAAUCUCCAUGCUGCUAGAUCUGCUAAACUGUUAUCUGUCCUCAUCCUCCUGGACCUGUCUGCUGCAUUUGACACAGUUGACCACAUGAUUCUAUCAUCUAUUCUUACAAGCCUUGGAAUUUGUGGAACCACGUUUGCUUCUUACCUAGAAGAUAGGAUGUAUGAGGUAAUAUGGAGGGCAUCCACAUCUGCCCCACGCAAACUCUCUGCUGUUCUCACACUAUGCCCGGUCUCUUGGUAAGGUCAUUUCAUCACAUGGAUUUUUCAUACCAUUGUUAUGCAGAUGACACCCAAAUUAUUCUCUCCUUUCCUCCCUCUGACACUCAGGUUUCCACCCCGAUCCCAGCAUGUCUGGCAGACAUCUCAUCCUGGAUGGCAGCUCAUUAGCUGAAUUUCAAUCUGAAUAAAACUGAACUGGUGACUCAUCUUGAGGUCAGGACCUCGUGAUAUCCCUGGACAAGAAUGAAAUCACUCCUUCAGCUACUUUUUUCAGAAUGUUGGGAGAUUCUCACACUAAUUUGCAGUGAUAUCAUGGCAGAUAAUGUUUUGGGGCUUAGUAACAGUGUUUACUGUGUUCUUUGUUUACUGUGGUGGUUUACUGGUGUGUUUUCAAUCAAAUCAGAAAAAUAUUCCGUUCCCUCUGUUUCAACAGUUUUUUACAGAUCUACAGGGAUAAAGUGGUAAAAACAAUAACACACCAUGCACACUGAUUACUAAAAUGAUUGUGCGGAUUAAUAAAACUAUUGGAUUAACAAACCGAGAUGCAUUUUUCUUAGACCCACCCUUGUGAAAAUGGCAUAUUCAGAAAAUGGCUUGUCAGUGAGAGGUUGGUCAUGGACCAUUGACGUUCUACGCAUUCUAAAAAUGAUAUUUUUACCGUUUUUAAUCCCUGCAAUGAAUAUGAUAUAGAUCUGGAGAAUUUCUUUAUUAUUAAAUCUGUCUCUUACAUUCCAGGCAUUAAAAACUGUAUCAAUGUCAAGUUCAUAAUCUGUAGAACCUCUGUGGUCUGUGCAUAACCUCUCGCGGACAAGCCUCUCUCUGUUUUAUUGAGCUGGGGAUAAGAAUACCAUCUUGAUGGGAGACCAACUUCGACACAACACCGGCAAACCAAUCAGUGUGCUCUGUUUAUUAAUACACUCACACGGUUUAGUAAUUCGAAAAUUGUAUAAAUGCAAACCAUGAGAUAAAAUUAAAUCCAGGGUGGGACCAUGUUCAUGUGUUGGACUACACACCCACUGAAGAAGAUUAAAAGACUCAAUGAA
Clarias gariepinus (North African catfish) is the source of this 2832-nucleotide RNA transcript. It is a transcript of the gene named zinc finger protein OZF-like, with no coding region annotated. NCBI's taxonomy places the organism in Eukaryota, Metazoa, Chordata, Actinopteri, Siluriformes, Clariidae. The record is from RefSeq and is a predicted model, not a curated record. The transcript has 4 exons.